Pelobates cultripes (western spadefoot toad) is the source of this 249-nucleotide non-coding RNA. NCBI's taxonomy places the organism in Eukaryota, Metazoa, Chordata, Amphibia, Anura, Pelobatidae. The record is from the annotation of a GenBank genome assembly.
CCGGCCAGGUCGCGGACCGGAGAGGAGCUCGGCCACGCUACAGGGAAGGGGAGGUGAGGCAGUGCGGCAGCCGUCUGAGCACUCUCUAUAGAGCGCUCAGUCGGCUGUGGCAUUUAAAGGGCCGGCAGCCGCCGGCCCUGCCUAGGUCUUAUUUUCGGGGUAGGGCUUAUAUUGCAGCCCACCCCGAUAAUCCAGCUAGGGCUUAUUUUCGGGGUAGGGCUUAUUUUCGGGAAAACACGGUAGUUUUUU